This 499-nucleotide ribosomal RNA is filed under the name uncultured bacterium. RNAcentral's name for it is "partial 16S ribosomal RNA". It matches the Rfam family "Bacterial small subunit ribosomal RNA", at positions 28 to 507 of the family's 1533-position model. The record is from RNAcentral.
GAUGAACGCUGGCGGCGUGCCUAAUACAUGCAAGUCGAGCGAACAGACGAGAGUGCUUGCACUCUCUGACGUUAGCGGCGGACGGGUGAGUAACACGUGGGUAACCUACCUAUAAGACUGGGAUAACUUCGGGAAACCGGAGCUAAUACCGGAUAAUAUUUAGCUUCGCAUGAAGCAAUAGUGAAAGACGGUUCUGCUGUCACUUAUAGAUGGACCCGCGGUGUAUUAGCUAGUUGGUGAGGUAACGGCUCACCAAGGCAACGAUACAUAGCCGACCUGAGAGGGUGAUCGGCCACACUAGGACUGAGACACGGCCCAGACUCCUACGGGAGGCAGCAGUAGGGAAUCUUCCGCAAAGGACGAAAGUCUGACGGAGCAAUGCCGCGUGAGUGAAGAAGGUUUUCGGAUCGUAAAACUCUGUUGUAAGGGAAGAACAAGUACGUUAGUAACUGAACGUACCUUGACGGUACCUUACCAGAAAGCCACGGCUAACUACGUG